This 254-nucleotide ribosomal RNA is filed under the name uncultured bacterium. Its description in RNAcentral is "partial 16S ribosomal RNA". It matches the Rfam family "Bacterial small subunit ribosomal RNA", at positions 524 to 776 of the family's 1533-position model. The record is from RNAcentral.
UACGGAGGGUGCGAGCGUUGUCCGGAAUCACUGGGCGUAAAGGGCGCGUAGGUGGCCCGUGGAAGUCUGCGGUGAAAGCCCGGCGCUCAACGCCGGGUCGGCCGUGGAUACUCUCGGGCUUGAGCUUACUAGAGGCAGAUGGAAUUCCUGGUGUAGCGGUGGAAUGCGCAAAUAUCAGGAGGAACACCGAUGGCGAAGGCAGUUCCCUGGGCCGUAACUGACGCUGAGGAGCGAAAGCGUGGGGAGCGAACAGG